This 498-nucleotide ribosomal RNA is filed under the name uncultured bacterium. RNAcentral describes it as "partial 16S ribosomal RNA". It matches the Rfam family "Bacterial small subunit ribosomal RNA", at positions 29 to 523 of the family's 1533-position model. The record is from RNAcentral.
AUUGAACGCUGGCGGAAUGCUUUACACAUGCAAGUCGAGCGGCAGCGCGGGGCAACCUGGCGGCGAGCGGCGAACGGGUGAGUAAUACAUCGGAACGUACCCAGUUGUGGGGGAUAGCCCGGCGAAAGCCGGAUUAAUACCGCAUACGACCUGAGGGUGAAAGCGGGGGAUCGCAAGACCUCGCGCAAUUGGAGCGGCCGAUGGCGGAUUAGCUAGUUGGUAGGGUAAUGGCCUACCAAGGCGACGAUCCGUAGCGGGUCUGAGAGGACGGCCCGCCACACUGGAACUGAGACACGGUCCAGACUCCUACGGGAGGCAGCAGUGGGGAAUUUUGGACAAUGGGGGAAACCCUGAUCCAGCCAUUCCGCGUGAGUGAAGAAGGCCUUCGGGUUGUAAAGCUCUUUCGGCAGGAACGAAACGGUGGGUCCUAAUACGAUCUGCUAAUGACGGUACCUGAAGAAGAAGCACCGGCUAACUACGUGCCAGCCGCCGCCGUAA